This 427-nucleotide ribosomal RNA is filed under the name uncultured bacterium. RNAcentral describes it as "partial 16S ribosomal RNA". It matches the Rfam family "Bacterial small subunit ribosomal RNA", at positions 355 to 774 of the family's 1533-position model. The record is from RNAcentral.
UGGGGAAUAUUGGACAAUGGGCGAAAGCCUGAUCCAGCCAUGCCGCGUGUGUGAAGAAGGUCUUCGGAUUGUAAAGCACUUUAAGUUGGGAGGAAGGGCAUUAACCUAAUACGUUAGUGUUUUGACGUUACCGACAGAAUAAGCACCGGCUAACUCUGUGCCAGCAGCCGCGGUAAUACAAAGGGUGCAAGCGUUAAUCGGAAUUACUGGGCGUAAAGCGCGCGUAGGUGGUUUGUUAAGUUGGAUGUGAAAUCCCCGGGCUCAACCUGGGAACUGCAUUCAAAACUGACUGACUAGAGUAUGGUAGAGGGUGGUGGAAUUUCCUGUGUAGCGGUGAAAUGCGUAGAUAUAGGAAGGAACACCAGUGGCGAAGGCGACCACCUGGACUAAUACUGACACUGAGGUGCGAAAGCGUGGGGAGCAAACA